AGAUUGAACGCUGGCGGCAUGCCUAACACAUGCAAGUCGAACGGGAGUAGCAAUACUCUAGUGGCGGACGGGUGAGGAAUACGUAGGAAUUUGCCCUUAAGUGGGGGAUAACCCGGGGAAACCCGGAUUAAUACCGCAUGACCUCGAAAGAGCAAAGUGGGGGAUCGCAAGACCUCACGCUUUUGGAGAAGCCUACGUCGGAUUAGCUAGUUGGUGAGGUAAUGGCUCACCAAGGCGACGAUCCGUAACUGGUCUGAGAGGAUGAUCAGUCACACCGGAACUGAGACACGGUCCGGACUCCUACGGGAGGCAGCA
Molecule: ribosomal RNA, 315 nt
Filed under: uncultured soil bacterium
Lineage: Bacteria
Description: bacterial SSU rRNA
Rfam family: Bacterial small subunit ribosomal RNA
Source: RNAcentral